UACGUAGGGUGCGAGCGUUAAUCGGAAUUACUGGGCGUAAAGCGUGCGCAGGCGGUUUUGUAAGCCAGAUGUGAAAUCCCCGGGCUUAACCUGGGAAUGGCAUUUGGGACUGCAAGGCUUGAGUGCGGCAGAGGAGACUAGAAUUCCUGGUGUAGCAGUGAAAUGCGUAGAUAUCUGGAGGAACACCGGUGGCGAAGGCAGCUCGCUGGGACGUGACUGACGCUGAGACGCGAAAGCGUGGGGAGCAAACAGG
Molecule: ribosomal RNA, 253 nt
Filed under: uncultured bacterium
Lineage: Bacteria
Description: partial 16S ribosomal RNA
Rfam family: Bacterial small subunit ribosomal RNA
Source: RNAcentral